AAGGAAUCAAGAAUGUUCCGACUUAGGAAGUUAUAUCUGACUCCGGCUGCAGGUAGAAUGAGAUAUAACUGUUCUAUCAAUAGGGAUCAGUUCACAAUAUAGACACAUAGGGCAUUCAAUAGUCCCGUUUAUUUAAUAUAAAGUAAAGAGAAACCUUUAUACAUUACCAAGAGUCUAGGAUGAAUUAAUUCAAGUUGGGAUUCUUCUCUCUGGGUGCUCUGGUCUGUAACUCAGUCUAUUGCCCUCAGUCAGUCAAUCUCCUCCUUUCUUAGCCCUCUGUUUUCUCCUUUUGAUCUUUUUAAGAUGAUCUGAAGAUAUCGAUCCUCUCUCUUAUUUUUCUGUCUAUUUAACCAUUAUUUCCCCCUUAUCAGUUCCUGCCCCUUGUUUGUAAAUGGGCGGUACCUGGGACUUAAAUCUGGCUUUUGAUUGGUUAUGGGC
Molecule: non-coding RNA, 438 nt
Organism: Pelobates cultripes (western spadefoot toad)
Lineage: Eukaryota; Metazoa; Chordata; Amphibia; Anura; Pelobatidae
Source: the annotation of a GenBank genome assembly